RNAcentral lists this long non-coding RNA (2469 nucleotides) under Mus pahari (shrew mouse). RNAcentral describes it as "predicted gene 28634 (MGP_PahariEiJ_G0005905.1)". The record is from RNAcentral. Lineage: Eukaryota; Metazoa; Chordata; Mammalia; Rodentia; Muridae.
UGUGCUUUAAUCAAAAUAUAUAUAAUAUACAUACAUAUGUAUAUACAGAUAUAGAUGUUAUGCGUUUCUGUGUGUCUGUGCAUAUAUGUAUAUAUUUAAAUUUUAAUUUAUAAUAAUUAAUUUAAUAAUCAAUUUAAUUCAAUUUAUUUAAUUUUACAGAAUGGAUAGUUAACAUAGUUUCCCCCUUUUCCAAGUCUUCUCAAAUCCUCUCUAUCUUCCUAACUACUGAACUUCGUUUUCUUUCUUUUACAUAAAAUAAACCCACAACUAUUUAAAACAAAGGGCAAAACUAAGAAGAUAAAAAUACUAAGUAAAACAAAGACAAAACGUCCUCCUCCAAGUCACAGAAGGAUUAUGAAUGUCUGUUUAGUGUUGAGAAAAUAUCCUGACCAUGGGGCCUUCUUUGGAGUGUAGCUGGGAUAUACAGAGUAACUCCUUUGAAGAAAAUAGAUUUUCCUUCACUCAAGUGACAUAAAUUACAAGUGGUUUCUUGAUUGGGGAUAAGAUGUUUGGUCUGCUCUCCCUUCUCUCUGCUGGGAUUUUUUGUCUGGCCUAAACCUGUGCAGACCUCGAGCAGGAUGUCAUAGUAAAUUCAUGUGUAUAUCCAUCCCAUUUGUCUGGACGUCAUUCACAGCCUCUGACAUCUUCUCCAAACAUCUGAGUCCUGAGCGGAGGGCUUUAAUGAAGGUAUUCCAUUUAGUACAGGUGUCCUUACUAGUCACUUAUUGAUUUGUUCAUUUAGCAAAAGAAUAGUUAUAGGUUUUCCCGUAGGGUCUAUAACCUACCCAAUCUUAGGUUGUUGGACUUUAGCAGUGUCUGGUGUAGAUUCUAUUAUGUGGGGUGAGCUUUAAAAGUGAAUGAAUAAAUAAAUAAAUAAAUAAAUAAAUAAAUAAAUAAAUACCACAAUAAAACUCAUAUGGUUGGCUUCUUCCAUAACAUUUAUGCCACUCUUGUAAAAUAAAUGUUGCAUUCAGGCAAAUGUUGUAGGGCUGUAGGUUACAGGGUUCAUAGCUUGGUGAUAUUUAUGAUUACUUUUGUUCUCCAAUACUGUGACCCAUACCGCCCUGUAGCAUAAACAGUAGUUAAUGGAAAUGAAACUUCUAUUUGGCCACCAAGUUGAUUCUCCAUGUUUGCUGACAUAAGUAAGUGGUGUUGUUGACUAUAGAGCCUUACCAUCAAGAUGUGGAAGGUCACGGCCAGGAAGCCAUGACAUCAGGGAGAAGAAGGAUGAAAAUCAGAGCAGGAAGAUGGCUGGUUAUAUUUUCAUGCACAUAUAGUAAGCAGAAAGAAUGGGAAAUGAGGUGAAGUCGUAUGGUGUCAAAGUUUACCCCAAGUAAUGUCCUUCCUUGAGGAAGGCUCAGCCUCCUCAUGGUUCCUUCCAAACUUGUAUAAACAGCACCAUUACCUGGAAGUAAAAUAUUUAAAUGAAUCAGCUUAAGGUUAUAGUUCUGAUUCAAACCACAUACCCCAUGCCCAAUACCCCCACCAUAGCAUGAAUCAACAAAGAUGCAUUGUCUUGUAGUGAUGCUGUAGAGACAAAUAAAUGAUGUGUUAAUUCUUAAUGAUAAUAUAAGAAUUUCUAAAAUUAUACCAGCAAUUAUUAAGCCUUUUAUAUGCGGACUGCCCUCUCUGAUAUGAAAACUACAGUUAGAUCUGUACCACCAGUGAAUUGCUUGUGAGGUAGAAAGCAGGUGCUUACAACUUAGGGGCCCAUUCCUAGAGUUUGUAAAACAACUAGCCAAAGGUUAUAAAAGGGAAUUAAGGAUUUAUUGAAGGUGCAAGCACAUAAGAUAAAAUAUUGACUGUGCUUAUCCAUACAAAACUGCAAUGCUAACUUAGUCACAAGAAUUAUAGUUUUAUAUUUUCAAUGAACCCGUGGAGUUGGUGACAGAUGAAUUUCCAGGCUUAAUGGUCACAUGUGUAAACAUCUCUGUUGUAAACUUCUUAUUCAAUUCAUGGUUUGAGUUUAUGUUUGAUUUUGUCAGUGAGCUUCUGUAAAAGAAAGGAUGCUUGGGAAAUCCAUUCCUAUCUAUUCUCUUAGGAAGAGUAUAAGACAAACUAGAAAUGAUUUCAUUACAACAGAAGGAGAGGGCAGAAAGGAAAGGGGGAGGUUAGGGGGAGAUGGAGGGGGACAGUAGAACAGAGUAAUUUAGAAAUUAAGAGCAUAUAAUCUGAUAGUCAUUUCCCCCUUCUACUUUCCCUAGAAACAAAGAUUAGAAUCCCUCUUUUUAAAGUGUCUCCCGCUUUUUUUUCCUCAUCUUUUAUCAACUUUCUCUAACUGACAAAGAGUUAAACUCUCAUUCUUUCUUGGGCCCAUCAUGGAACUCCUGCCAAGAAAAGAACAAAAGGAUCUCUUUACUUAAUCCCCUGCUGUUAUUCAAAAGGUGUCAGUAGAUCCAGGGGUCUGUAGCUUCUGCCUUCAGAGUAAUUUAAAGUCAGUCAAGAAAGGUAAAAGUUAUUAUAAAACAA